This 256-nucleotide ribosomal RNA is filed under the name uncultured bacterium. RNAcentral's name for it is "partial 16S ribosomal RNA". It matches the Rfam family "Bacterial small subunit ribosomal RNA", at positions 334 to 604 of the family's 1533-position model. The record is from RNAcentral.
UAUGCCUACGGGACGCAGCAGUGGGGAAUAUUGGACAAUGGGGGGAACCCUGAUCCAGCGACGCCGCGUGAGUGAAGAAGUAUUUCGGAAUUUAAAGCUCUAUCAGCAGGGAAGAAAGAAAUGACGGUACCUGACUAAGAAGCCCCGGCUAACUACGUGCCAGCAGCCGCGGUAAUACGUAGGGGGCAAGCGUUAUCCGGAUUUACUGGGUGUAUAGGGAGCGUAGACGGCAAUGAAAGUCUGGAGUGAAAGGCGG